GGUUAGACGAAGAAUCUAAAUGAAAUAAUUUAUUAUUCAAUUAACAGUAGAUAAGUUAGAGUAAAUUUAUCUUCUUUCUUAGGUGAAAUUUAUAUAAGGGGAAAAAAUAUCUUUAUUUAUUUGAAGGGAUUGUUAAGUGAAGACUCAAAACCAGGAUUAGAUACCCUGUUAUUCUUUAUUAUAUUUAAUAGGGUAGUAAAAGUUAUUCUUCAAACCCAAAGAUUUUGGCGGCAUUCUAACCAAACAGAGGAGCUUGUCUUAUAAUCGAUAAUCCCCGUUUUAUCUUACCUUUAUUUGUUUAGCUUGUAUACCUCCGUUGUCAGAUUACUCUAAAAGGAUGUUUUCUAGAAAAAUUAUUUUUUUACUUCAGGUCAAGGUGCAGUUUAUAUAAAGGGAAUGGUGAG
RNAcentral lists this ribosomal RNA (404 nucleotides) under Daphnia sinensis. Its description in RNAcentral is "partial 12S ribosomal RNA". The record is from RNAcentral. Lineage: Eukaryota; Metazoa; Arthropoda; Branchiopoda; Diplostraca; Daphniidae.